AUUGAACGCUGGCGGCAUGCCUUACACAUGCAAGUCGAACGGCAGCACGGGUGCUUGCACCUGGUGGCGAGUGGCGAACGGGUGAGUAAUACAUCGGAACGUACCUUAUCGUGGGGGAUAACGCAGCGAAAGCUGUGCUAAUACCGCAUACGCCCUGAGGGGGAAAGCGGGGGAUCGCAAGACCUCGCGCGAUUAGAGCGGCCGAUGCCUGAUUAGCUAGUUGGUGGGGUAAAAGCCCACCAAGGCGACGAUCAGUAGCUGGGCCGGGAGGACGAUAGGCAACACGGGGACUGAGACACGGCCCAGACUCCUACGGGAGGCAGCAGGGGGGAAUUUUGGACAAUGGGGGCAACCCUGAUCCAGCAAUGCCGCGUGAGUGAAGAAGGCCUUCGGGUUGUAAAGCUCUUUUGUCAGGGAAGAAACACCGGCUCUAACACAGUCCGGGAAUGACGGUACCUGAAGAAUAAGCACCGGCUAACUACGUGCCAGCAGCCGCGGUAA
RNAcentral lists this ribosomal RNA (501 nucleotides) under uncultured bacterium. RNAcentral describes it as "partial 16S ribosomal RNA". It matches the Rfam family "Bacterial small subunit ribosomal RNA", at positions 29 to 523 of the family's 1533-position model. The record is from RNAcentral.